UGUGGAUAGGGGUGAAAGGCCAAUCAAACUUCGUGAUAGCUGGUUCUCUCCGAAAUAUAUUUAGGUAUAGCGUUGUGUCGUAAUAUAAGGGGGUAGAGCACUGAAUGGGCUAGGGCAUACACCAAUGUACCAAACCCUAUCAAACUCCGAAUACCUUAUAUGUAAUCACAGCAGUCAGGCGGCGAGUGAUAAAAUCCGUCGUCAAGAGGGAAACAACCCAGACUACCAGCUAAGGUCCCUAAGUCUUACUUAAGUGGAAAACGAUGUGAAGUUACUUAAACAACCAGGAGGUUGGCUUAGAAGCAGCCAUCCUUUAAAGAAAGCGUAAUAGCUCACUGGUCUAGUGAUUUUGCGCGGAAAAUAUAACGGGGCUAAAGUAAGUACCGAAGCUGUAGACUUAGUUUACUAAGUGGUAGGAGAGCGUUCUAUUUGCGUCGAAGGUAUACCGGUAAGGAGUGCUGGAGCGAAUAGAAGUGAGCAUGCAGGCAUGAGUAGCGAUAAUUAAUGUGAGAAUCAUUAACGCCGUAAACCCAAGGUUUCCUACGCGAUGCUCGUCAUCGUAGGGUUAGUCGGGUCCUAAGUCGAGUCCGAAAGGGGUAGACGAUGGCAAAUUGGUUAAUAUUCCAAUACCAACAUUAGUGUGCGAUGGAAGGACGCUUAGGGCUAAGGGGGCUAGCGGAUGGAAGUGCUAGUCUAAGGUCGUAGGAGGUUAUACAGGCAAAUCCGUAUAACAAUACUCCGAGAACUGAAAGGCUUUUUGAAGUCUUCGGAUGGAUAGAAGAACCCCUGAUGCCGUCGAGCCAAGAAAAGUUUCUAAGUUUAGCUAAUGUUGCCCGUACCGUAAACCGACACAGGUGGGUGGGAUGAGUAUUCUAAGGCGCGUGGAAGAACUCUCUUUAAGGAACUCUGCAAAAUAGCACCGUAUCUUCGGUAUAAGGUGUGGUUAGCUUUGUAUUAGGAUUUACUCCGAAAGCAAGGAAACUUACAACAAAGAGUCCCUCCCGACUGUUUACCAAAAACACAGCACUCUGCUAACUCGUAAGAGGAUGUAUAGGGUGUGACGCCUGCCCGGUGCUCGAAGGUUAAUUGAUGGGGUUAGCAUUAGCGAAGCUCUUGAUCGAAGCCCGAGUAAACGGCGGCCGUAACUAUAACGGUCCUAAGGUAGCGAAAUUCCUUGUCGGUUAAAUACCGACCUGCAUGAAUGGCGUAACGAGAUGGGAGCUGUCUCAAAGAGGGAUCCAGUGAAAUUGUAGUGGAGGUGAAAAUUCCUCCUACCCGCGGCAAGACGGAAAGACCCCGUGGACCUUUACUACAGCUUGACACUGCUACUUGGAUAAGAAUGUGCAGGAUAGGUGGGAGGCUUUGAGUAUAUGACGCCAGUUGUAUAUGAGCCAUUGUUGAGAUACCACUCUUUCUUAUUUGGGUAGCUAACCAGCUUGAGUUAUCCUCAAGUGGGACAAUGUCUGGUGGGUAGUUUGACUGGGGCGGUCGCCUCCCAAAUAAUAACGGAGGCUUACAAAGGUUGGCUCAGAACGGUUGGAAAUCGUUCGUAGAGUAUAAAGGUAUAAGCCAGCUUAACUGCAAGACAUACAAGUCAAGCAGAGACGAAAGUCGGUCUUAGUGAUCCGGUGGUUCUGUGUGGAAGGGCCAUCGCUCAAAGGAUAAAAGGUACCCCGGGGAUAACAGGCUGAUCUCCCCCAAGAGCUCACAUCGACGGGGAGGUUUGGCACCUCGAUGUCGGCUCAUCGCAUCCUGGGGCUGGAGCAGGUCCCAAGGGUAUGGCUGUUCGCCAUUUAAAGCGGUACGCGAGCUGGGUUCAGAACGUCGUGAGACAGUUCGGUCCCUAUCUGCCGUGGGCGUAAGAAGAUUGAAGAGAUUUGACCCUAGUACGAGAGGACCGGGUUGAACAAACCACUGGUGUAGCUGUUGUUCUGCCAAGAGCAUCGCAGCGUAGCUAAGUUUGGAAAGGAUAAACGCUGAAAGCAUCUAAGCGUGAAGCCAACUCUAAGAUGAAUCUUCUCUAAGCUCUCUAGAAGACUACUAGUUUGAUAGGCUGGGUGUGUAAUGGAUGAAAGUCCUUUAGCUGACCAGUACUAAUAGAGCGUUUGGCUUAUCUUUAAUAAAGCAU
This 2128-nucleotide ribosomal RNA is filed under the name Campylobacter jejuni. RNAcentral describes it as "partial 23S ribosomal RNA". It matches the Rfam family "Bacterial large subunit ribosomal RNA", at positions 810 to 2925 of the family's 2925-position model. The record is from RNAcentral. Lineage: Bacteria; Pseudomonadati; Campylobacterota; Epsilonproteobacteria; Campylobacterales; Campylobacteraceae.